RNAcentral lists this non-coding RNA (89 nucleotides) under uncultured Lawsonibacter sp. RNAcentral's name for it is "Glycine riboswitch". The stretch from base 5 to 84 matches the Rfam family "Glycine riboswitch aptamer", at positions 9 to 86 of the family's 94-position model. Rfam says of the family: This family represents the bacterial glycine riboswitch. The record is from RNAcentral. Lineage: Bacteria; Bacillati; Bacillota; Clostridia; Eubacteriales; Oscillospiraceae.
GUAACUCUGGAGAAGCUCGAUUCGAGUGCCGAAGGUGCAACGCGGUUUUUUUAGGCCGCCAAUCUCUCAGGCAAAAGGACAGAGGAGGA